Long non-coding RNA from Bombus impatiens (common eastern bumble bee), 2446 nucleotides. RefSeq lists it as uncharacterized. NCBI's taxonomy places the organism in Eukaryota, Metazoa, Arthropoda, Insecta, Hymenoptera, Apidae. The transcript has 2 exons. The record is from RefSeq and is a predicted model, not a curated record.
UCUUUCUUAGUCUUUGUCGAGACUUUUUCGCCUCGACGAAAGGAGACGGCGUGACCGAGCUACGCGAUCUGUCAGACGGAAGAACAACGAAAUUACGAUCGGACAAUUAGACGGGCUAUCGUUGCGUACAUCUGCAGUAUUCUAGCUAAUUUUUCAGCGACGGUAUGCUAGACACACGGAUAGAAACGGAAGUAAAAAGGAAAUUAGGAGGAGCAUAGAGAGAAUCGAGGAAAGGGAUAACUGGUUGAGAUACAUGGAAAUUUUCACGUUAUUCCGUAUUGAAUACCUUACUGCCAAAAAAUCCUAGAGAUUUCCUUUUCGUACGGUUCUUUCAUAUUUCAAUCUACUUCUCGCCUUUGUAUUUCUCGUCUUUCCACCUUUCUCUUUCGGUGAAAACGACGAAGAGUCGAAAUAAUCAUAUCGGACUUUCUUCUUUGCAAGAAACAAAGUACGUAACAGUUUAUUCCAUUCAGAUCUGCAUCACAAGGUAUUUGUCCAUUAGUAUUUAAAUCGCGUAUUCUUGUUUUGAUUCGUAGUUAUUAAUAUUAUUACUUGUAUUACUAUUAUUUUUUUAUUUUAUUAUUAUUAUUAUUAUUAUUAUUAUUAUUAUUGCAAUUAUUAUUAUUAUUAUUAUCACUAUUAUUAUUACUAUCACCGAUUAGUUAUUGUAUCAUUAAUAUUAUUAUUACCGCGUACAUCAUAAUAAUAGUAUGGCUGUAGAAAAAAAUGUAAAUCGGAACGAGACGAUGCCACCUUGCCAGCUAGCCAUCACUACCACUGUUUUCUCCCUUCCGUUACUCAUAGCAUCCUUCGAGAAAUACGAACGAAAAUGAAAAAAAUGGUAUACACUUCGAUAUGCGUUAUUUCCAAAGUGAGGAUCGAGACGUACAUGUAUGCGUGUGUGCCUGAGUGUUUUCUUGUAUGCGCGCGCGCUCUUUGCAUCCGAAAGAAGCGGUACCGAAGCACAUAAAGAAAAACAAACAUGCGACUCUCUCUCCUUUUUUUUUGUACUGGUUUGUUAUGUUAUUUUUUUUUUUUUUUUAAACGAUACAACCCGAUUGUUCUUAAUUUAAAUUGUAAAUCGUAUUUUUGUUUGUUUUUUUAGUUAUUUUUUGUUGUAAAAUGCUUUUUAAUAAUAUUUUCAGUUCACAUUACACCGACAACUGUCAGUUUUUUGUCUCACUUUAUUUCUUCUUACUCUCGCUCGCUUCUCCGUACCUUCUUUCGUCCCCGAAAACACACCACUUGUGUACCCUUUUUUUUAUUUACGCUUCAUCGAUCCAACCCCCAACUAUACGUACACGCGCGAUAGAAUUUUAACCCUGUCCCGUUAUCGAUCUAUCUGUAUUUUCCUAACGUUAUUUGCUAAUCUUAUCAAAUAGCUCUCUAACUUUAACGGCAAUAUGAAGAAAUUGUCGUCGGUAUACGUGGUCAGCGCUUCUUUUCAACUUUUCCAACUUUCGCCAUUUCCUAUCCUACUUAUAAUACAUGGAAAAAAUGUACGAGAUAAGACAAUUCUUUGUUAUAGUUCUAAUUUUGUUACUCGUAGUCGCGUGUUCGGACAAAGCUAAAUUUAUUACACACCGACGAGAUAAACCUGCUCGUUCGUUUUUCCAUCGAGAACUAAACAUUGACCGAAUACGACGUUCGAUAUAACGUUUCCCACGGUUAAUCGAUAUUUUUGAUUUUACGAUCGACAAUGAUUAUCGCUGAUCUGCUACAACGACCUAACUGAAAACUCGUAGUUUUUGAGUUGCCGGGUAUAAGAGAAACAAUUUUUCCUUACGUUUUCUAUCGGUAGAGUCGCUCUAUUGUAUCGUCACGAGACUAUAACAGUUGAGAACGUUCAAACACGUUUCUCCCAAAGUGGUGAAUUUUGCGUCAUUGUUGCAGAAAAUGAGCGAUAUACAGUAAGAAACGUUAUAAUCGUGUUUAAGGACAUUUUAGAAAGUGAUUCAAGCGAUUUUUUAAAAUACUAAUAUUCUAUAUCUGUAUCGAUCGAUAACUCGAUGAAUCCAUUAACGACAGAUGGUUGAAAUCUUCCAUUUCAUUGGUAUGUGACGGGUGGACAGAAUUUCACCACCCCGUAACUUGUUUACGCGACCCAUAAGAAUAUGUAAGAAGCCCUGGUAUACUUGAUCGUUUGUCACGUAUUUUCUUAAGACGCGAACAAUAAAAUUCAACUAUAGAAAUCGCACGAUCGUAGCAGGGUUGAUCAAAAUUUCGUGAGACAUUUACGAUUUCAUAGCUCUCGCUUUUACCGAUACAACCGUCGGUCCAUGAUUUGUUACAUAUUUUGAUUAUACUUUUAUAAAAAUAUAAUAAAUUUUCACAGAAGGAAACGCAAGAUAAUUUAUUUUCAUUGUCGGAAAUCAACUAAUACGAAUUGUAUCAUUGUGAAAGAGAAAACAUCUCAAGACCUUUCUGUUCCAUUUUUCCAUCGAAC